This 497-nucleotide ribosomal RNA is filed under the name uncultured bacterium. Its description in RNAcentral is "partial 16S ribosomal RNA". It matches the Rfam family "Bacterial small subunit ribosomal RNA", at positions 28 to 507 of the family's 1533-position model. The record is from RNAcentral.
GAUGAACGCUGGCGGCGUGCCUAAUACAUACAAGUCGAGCGAACAGAUAAGGAGCUUGCUCCUUUGACGUUAGCGGCGGACGGGUGAGUAACACGUGGGUAACCUACCUAUAAGACUGGAAUAACUCCGGGAAACCGGGGCUAAUGCCGGAUAACAUUUAGAACCGCAUGGUUCUAAAGUGAAAGAUGGUUUUGCUAUCACUUAUAGAUGGACCCGCGCCGUAUUAGCUAGUUGGUAAGGUAACGGCUUACCAAGGCAACGAUACGUAGCCGACCUGAGAGGGUGAUCGGCCACACUGGAACUGAGACACGGUCCAGACUCCUACGGGAGGCAGCAGUAGGGAAUCUUCCGCAAUGGGCGAAAGCCUGACGGAGCAACGCCGCGUGAGUGAUGAAGGUCUUCGGAUCGUAAAACUCUGUUAUUAGGGAAGAACAAAUGUGUAAGUAACUGUGCACGUCUUGACGGUACCUAAUCAGAAAGCCACGGCUAACUACGUG